AAAGAAAGAAAGAAACGAAACAGGGAGUCUUAAGUGAGAAACCAGCUACCCUUUUUGGCGGGUUCUGAUUCCAGAGUGGUCCUCAGCUUUUCUUUGGGAUGCUGGACAUCGUUCAAACGUGUUCACUAGACUUAACUGAAAUCUCCUCCCUUCUCGGAGAAAGCCGUAAAUUGGGUGAUUCAUUUCCCAUUCCUACUUCAACAGCUGGGUGCUUUAAAUGCCCCCUAAAAUUGUUUCUAAAACCUUAGGAUCCUUGUUACCUGAGUCAAGUUUUUUGACUGAGUUUGUUUUGGAUUUGUAUUAGGCUUGUGGCUACCUUGAAAAGAAAUGUGACAGCGUAUCACAGAGUGCAGCUGUAGAUAAUAGGCAUAAUCAACUAUUGCUGAGUCUCUACAAUCAAAACAAACAGCAAAGUUUAAUGAGCUGUACAAGUCUUCCAGGGACAGGAAGAUCCCGUGUCUACGGGCUACGGCAAGCCUGCGAAUGAGCAGUGUGUGACUCUUGGGCCGGUGAAAUCAAAGGACCCGGAAUCGUUUGCCUUUUUGUUUUCAUAGAUUUUGGCUUCUAAGCAUCUGUCUCGUCACCCUACAAAUACAGACUUGCCAAACAUCUGGACUUUAACUUUUAAAAAUAAUAAAUAUUGCGGAUCACAUGAAGCCUUGUUCCCACCGGGUGAGCAGGAGAUGGGAUGUGACAGAUUCUCUGAAAUCUACUUAACCAGCCCGUUUACAUGGAGGAGAUUAAAAUUGUUCUAGAAAGACUACAAAAAGAAAACAUAAAAAUUUACCUCUGCACAUUCAAAAAGGCUAUUUCAUGGUUCAGGACCCAGUAAAGAAUCCACCACCGCCGACUCCCGGUUAAUAUAAAAGAAGGACAUUAAUAUAAAAGUCUGUCCCAUGGGUACAGUUGACUUGAAGAAUGUAACAGCCUUUGUUUUUUUUCUUCACUGUAGCCGUAAACUGAAUUCUUGUUAAUUUCCUGUCCCCUUUUCAGAAGCUUAAGCACAUUUUUCUGGGUAGUUUUGAGAAAGCACAGCUUGUAUCUUUCUUUGUUCCCAUAAUGUCGCUAUAAACCACACGCUGGAGAUAAAUGCCACCAAGACCUCUACGCCUCCAAGAUAGGAAACUGCCAGGAGUUGUGUGCAUGCCUGCCUCACGUGACAAGCGAAGUGUCCCCUGGUUGCCCCUGUUUUCUUUCUGUAUCCUAGGUUGAAAAACAAAAUAAAUCAGAGGGCUUUGACUGUU
This is a long non-coding RNA of Peromyscus eremicus (cactus mouse), 1244 nucleotides long. RefSeq lists it as uncharacterized. The transcript is spliced from 4 exons. Lineage: Eukaryota; Metazoa; Chordata; Mammalia; Rodentia; Cricetidae. The record is from RefSeq and is a predicted model, not a curated record.